AAGUCGUAACAAGGUUUCCGUAGGUGAACCUGCGGAAGGAUCAUUAACACGUAUCCAAACGUUAAAACCCCCCCCGUGAACCUUCAUCCUGCUCGUGUCAUUGAUUGUGCAAGGAUAGCGCUUCUACGAUUCCUGUAGACCGUACACUCGGGCAGGAGCUUUGCCAAAGGGUCCCCAUGCCCCCUAAUAACCCCACAGUUUAAUGUGAAGCUCAAUGUAAUACAUUGGGUAAAAAAACCGAACAACUGUUAACAAUGGAUAUCUUGGUUCUC
RNAcentral lists this unclassified non-coding RNA (272 nucleotides) under fungal sp. Its description in RNAcentral is "partial internal transcribed spacer region". The stretch from base 1 to 46 matches the Rfam family "Eukaryotic small subunit ribosomal RNA", at positions 1786 to 1831 of the family's 1831-position model. Lineage: Eukaryota; Fungi. The record is from RNAcentral.